RNAcentral lists this long non-coding RNA (227 nucleotides) under Eucalyptus grandis. RNAcentral describes it as "long non-coding RNA (EGRA_LNC007402)". The record is from RNAcentral. Lineage: Eukaryota; Viridiplantae; Streptophyta; Magnoliopsida; Myrtales; Myrtaceae.
GUAAGUUCUCUAUGUGGUGUGGCUAGGCCACCCUUGGGCGUAUUUUCUUUCUAAUAGGGGUUUAGGGGGUUGAACUUGCUGAGACAAUGUCUCACCCUGUUGUGGACCAAAAUUUCAGAACCGUAGAUGGUAGAACCCCCAGAGGUUGAUCACUCAGAAGUGGGAUCGAAGACUGAGUCCGACUAGUGGUCAUAGGACUGAUCCCUUUUGUAAACUACCACUUUUUG